ACACGUCCUCGAACAUGUCAUCUUCGCAAGCUUGGACGCAAGAACCCUUUUCCGAGGAUUUUGUUAACAGCUUGUUCCAAACUCCGUCAUUUUUGAGCCAACUUAACAACUAUCUUGCUUCACAAGGGAAAGGAAAAGGAAAGUCAAAUGACUACGAUUCUGACAACUUAUACGAUAGAGAAUCCGAGGAAGAUUGACUUGUUUUAAUGUAUGAUUUUGAUUUAAUUAAACGUUGUAGGAUUAUAAUGUACGACUAAAACGUAGUUUGCGUAUGUUUGCGUUGUUUUAAUUAUAUUACCUUUAGUAUA
This is a long non-coding RNA of Helianthus annuus (common sunflower), 308 nucleotides long. RefSeq lists it as uncharacterized. Lineage: Eukaryota; Viridiplantae; Streptophyta; Magnoliopsida; Asterales; Asteraceae. The record is from RefSeq and is a predicted model, not a curated record. The transcript is spliced from 2 exons.